CGCUGGUGCCUCCGCAACAAUAAACCGUGAACCCGGUCAGGCCCGGAAGGGAGCAGCCGCAGCGGUGGACUUGUGUGCCGGAGUGUCGCUGGUGGAGU
RNAcentral lists this signal recognition particle RNA (98 nucleotides) under Marinobacter zhejiangensis. Its description in RNAcentral is "Bacterial small signal recognition particle RNA". It matches the Rfam family "Bacterial small signal recognition particle RNA". Rfam says of the family: The signal recognition particle (SRP) is a universally conserved ribonucleoprotein involved in the co-translational targeting of proteins to membranes. Archaeal SRP consists of a 7S RNA and homologues of the eukaryotic SRP19 and SRP54 proteins. Lineage: Bacteria; Pseudomonadati; Pseudomonadota; Gammaproteobacteria; Pseudomonadales; Marinobacteraceae. The record is from RNAcentral.